Molecule: ribosomal RNA, 293 nt
Filed under: uncultured bacterium
Lineage: Bacteria
Description: partial 16S ribosomal RNA
Rfam family: Archaeal small subunit ribosomal RNA
Source: RNAcentral
GUGCCGGCCGCCGCGGUAAUACCGGCAGCCCGAGUGAUGGCCGAUCCUAUUGGGCCUAAAGCGUCCGUAGCUGGCUGCGCAAGUCCGUCGGGAAAUCCAUCAGCCCAACUGAUGGGCGUCCGGCGGAAACUGCACGGCUUGGGACCGGAAGGCUCGAGAGGUACGUCCGGGGUAGGAGUGAAAUCCCGUAAUCCCGGACGGACUACCGAUGGCGAAAGCACUCUGAGAAGACGGCUUCGACAGUGAGGGACGAAAGCUCGGGUCUCAAACCGGAUUAGAAACCCCUGUAGUCC